AGAGCGAACGCUGGCGGCAUGCUUAACACAUGCAAGUCGCACGGGCACUUCGGUGUCAGUGGCGGACGGGUGAGUAACGCGUAGGUAUCUAUCCUUGGGUGGGGGACAACGGUUGGAAACGACUGCUAAUACCGCAUAAUAACUGAGGUUUAAAGGCGCAAGUCGCCUGAGGAGGAGCCUGCGUACGAUUAGCUAGUUGGUGGGGUAAAGGCCUACCAAGGCGACGAUCGUUAGCUGGUCUGAGAGGAUGAUCAGCCACAUUGGGACUGAGACACGGCCCAAACUCCUACGGGAGGCAGCAGUGGGGAAUAUUGGACAAUGGGCGAAAGCCUGAUCCAGCAAUGCCGCGUGUGUGAAGAAGGUCUUCGGAUUGUAAAGCACUUUCGACAGGGACGAUGAUGACGGUACCUGUAGAAGAACGCCCCGGCUAACUUCGUGCCAGCAGCCGC
Molecule: ribosomal RNA, 449 nt
Filed under: uncultured bacterium
Lineage: Bacteria
Description: SSU rRNA
Rfam family: Bacterial small subunit ribosomal RNA
Source: RNAcentral